CUUGGUCAUUUAGAGGAAGUAAAAGUCGUAACAAGGUUUCCGUAGGUGAACCUGCGGAAGGAUCAUUAGUGAAUUGAAUAUGUUAGCGGACCUCUUCGGAGUCCCUAGCAUCAAAUCAUAUCCAUAACACCUGUGAACUGUAAGGCUGUCUUGAAAACGAAAGUGAUUAGAGCGCCUGCCCAUUUUAUACAAACAUUAAAGUAACAAACGUAGUCUUAUUAUAAUCUAAUAAAACUUUCAACAACGGAUCUCUUGGCUCUCGCAUCGAUGAAGAACGCAGCGAAAUGCGAUAAGUAAUGUGAAUUGCAGAAUUCAGUGAAUCAUCGAAUCUUUGAACGCACCUUGCGCUCUUUGGUAUUCCGAAGAGCAUGCCUGUUUGAGUGUCAUGAAAAUAUCAACCUUGACUUGGGUUUAGUGCUCUUGUCUUGGCUUGGAUUUGGCUGUUUGCCGCUCGAAAGAGUCGGCUCAGCUUAAAAGUAUUAGCUGGAUCUGUCUUUGAGACUUGGUUUGACUUGGCGUAAUAAGUUAUUUCGCUGAGGACAAUCUUCGGAUUGGCCGAGUUUCUGGGACGUUUGUCCGCUUUCUAAUACAAGUUCUAGCUUGCUAGACAUGACUUUUUUAUUAUCUGGCCUCAAAUCAGGUAGGACUACCCGCUGAACUUAAGCAUAUCAAUAAGCGGAGGAAAAGAAACUAACAAGGAUUCCCCUAGUAACGGCGAGUGAAGCGGGAAGAGCUCAAAUUUGAAAUUUGGUGGCCUCAGGCUAUCCGAGUUGUAAUCUAUAGAAACAUUUUCCGCGUUGGCCCAUGUACAAGUCUCUUGGAAUAGAGCGUCAUAGAGGGUGAGAAUCCCGUCCUUGACAUGGACUACCAGUGCUUUGUGAUAUGUUUUCAACGAGUCGAGUUGUUUGGGAAU
This 913-nucleotide small RNA is filed under the name uncultured Cryptococcus. RNAcentral's name for it is "eukaryotic LSU rRNA". The stretch from base 627 to 913 matches the Rfam family "Eukaryotic large subunit ribosomal RNA", at positions 1 to 281 of the family's 3401-position model. The record is from RNAcentral. Lineage: Eukaryota; Fungi; Basidiomycota; Tremellomycetes.